Non-coding RNA from Gossypium hirsutum (cotton), 145 nucleotides. NCBI's taxonomy places the organism in Eukaryota, Viridiplantae, Streptophyta, Magnoliopsida, Malvales, Malvaceae. The record is from Rfam.
UGUUAAAAAAUUUAUCUAUUUGUAUAAUUAAAAAUUGGCGCAGUUGACAAAAUAACCAAACAGAGAGACGUGGCGUGCCACGUGUACCUUAUGCUGAUGUACAAGGACCAACUUUUAACAGUAGAAAUUGAUAAAAAUUUUAAUA